Long non-coding RNA from Fundulus heteroclitus (mummichog), 326 nucleotides. RefSeq lists it as uncharacterized. NCBI's taxonomy places the organism in Eukaryota, Metazoa, Chordata, Actinopteri, Cyprinodontiformes, Fundulidae. The record is from RefSeq and is a predicted model, not a curated record. The transcript has 4 exons.
CGUCUUGUGACGCCUGUAAAAGUUGAUUUUUUUAUUUUUAUUUUGAGGCGUUGCCUUAAGGGAAAGUUUCUCUGUGCUUUCGGUUUCCUUCUUACGCUGCAGCCAUGGAUAUGGAACGUGUCAGACAAGAACAAUUUCUGAAAAUUCAACAAGAUUUCAAAACAAAUGCCUUCAAGAUCAUCAAGGAGAUGGUUGAUUGGUGCAAUAAGACUAUCGGAAGUAAACACCUGGUGGACGAGAUACUUCAGAGCAUCUUCUUUCUGGGAAAAAUCAACAAAGUGCCCUUCUCUCCGGAGGAAAUUAUCCCUGAGAAGGAGCUGCUCAGU